RNAcentral lists this ribosomal RNA (253 nucleotides) under uncultured bacterium. Its description in RNAcentral is "partial 16S ribosomal RNA". It matches the Rfam family "Bacterial small subunit ribosomal RNA", at positions 524 to 776 of the family's 1533-position model. The record is from RNAcentral.
UACAGAGGGGGCAAGCGUUGUUCGGAAUUACUGGGCGUAAAGGGCGCGUAGGCGGCCUGCUAAGUCGAACGUGAAAUCCCCGAGCUCAACUCGGGAACUGCGUCCGAUACUGGCAGGCUUGAAUCCGGGAGAGGGAUGCGGAAUUCUAGGUGUAGCGGUGAAAUGCGUAGAUAUCUGGAGGAACACCGGUGGCGAAGGCGGCAUCCUGGACCGGCAUUGACGCUGAGGCGCGAAAGCCAGGGGAGCAAACGGG